This 459-nucleotide ribosomal RNA is filed under the name uncultured bacterium. RNAcentral describes it as "partial 16S ribosomal RNA". It matches the Rfam family "Bacterial small subunit ribosomal RNA", at positions 338 to 795 of the family's 1533-position model. The record is from RNAcentral.
CCUACGGGAGGCAGCAGUGAGGAAUAUUGGUCAAUGGUCGGGAGACUGAACCAGCCAAGCCGCGUGAGGGAGGAAGGUACAGAGUAUCGUAAACCUCUUUUGUCAGGGAACAAAGGCGGGGACGUGUCCUCGGAUGAGUGUACCUGAAGAAAAAGCAUCGGCUAACUCCGUGCCAGCAGCCGCGGUAAUACGGAGGAUGAGAGCGUUAUCCGGUUUUAUUGGGUUUACGGGGGGCGCAGGCGGUUUGUUAAGUCAGCGGUAAACGCCCGGGGCUCAACCCCGGCCCGCCGUUGAAACUGGCAGUCUCGAGUUGGAGAGAGGUAUGCGGAAUGUGCGGUGUAGCGGUGAAAUGCAUAGAGAUCGCGCAGAACUCCGAUUGCGAAGGCAGCAUGCCGGCUCCACACUGACGCUGAGGCACGAAAGCGUGGGUAUCGAACAGGAUUAGAUACCCGUGUAGUC